This 307-nucleotide ribosomal RNA is filed under the name Escherichia sp. E4742. Its description in RNAcentral is "partial 23S ribosomal RNA". It matches the Rfam family "Bacterial large subunit ribosomal RNA", at positions 1 to 302 of the family's 2925-position model. Lineage: Bacteria; Pseudomonadati; Pseudomonadota; Gammaproteobacteria; Enterobacterales; Enterobacteriaceae. The record is from RNAcentral.
GGGUUGUGAGGUUAAGCGACUAAGCGUACACGGUGGAUGCCCUGGCAGUCAGAGGCGAUGAAGGACGUGCUAAUCUGCGAUAAGCGUCGGUAAGGUGAUAUGAACCGUUAUAACCGGCGAUUUCCGAAUGGGGAAACCCAGUGUGACUCGUCACACUAUCAUUAACUGAAUCCAUAGGUUAAUGAGGCGAACCGGGGGAACUGAAACAUCUAAGUACCCCGAGGAAAAGAAAUCAACCGAGAUUCCCCCCAGUAGCGGCGAGCGAACGGGGAGCAGCCCAGAGCCUGAAUCAGUGUGUGUGUUAGUG